GUGAGGAAUAUUGCCCAAUGGGGGAAACCCUGAGGCAGCAACGCCGCGUGGACGAUGACGGCCUUCGGGUUGUAAAGUCCUUUUCUGUGGGAAGAUGAUGACGGUACCGCAGGAAUAAGUCCCGGCUAACUACGUGCCAGCAGCCGCGGUAAAACGUAGGGGGCGAGCGUUAUCCGGAUUUACUGGGCGUAAAGCGCGCGCAGGCGGCGGGUCAAGUUGGCCGUGAAAGCUCCCGGCUUAACUGGGAGAGGUCGACCAAAACUGACCGGCUAGAGGCUGAGAGAGGAGAGCAGAAUUCCCGGUGUAGUGGUGGAAUGCGUAGAUAUCGGGAGGAAUACCAGUGGCGAAGGCGGCUCUCUGGCUCAGAACUGACGCUGAGGCGCGAAAGCGUGGGGAGCGAACGGGAUUAGAAACCCGGGUAGUCC
RNAcentral lists this ribosomal RNA (425 nucleotides) under uncultured bacterium. RNAcentral describes it as "bacterial SSU rRNA". It matches the Rfam family "Bacterial small subunit ribosomal RNA", at positions 354 to 796 of the family's 1533-position model. The record is from RNAcentral.